GAUGAACGCUGGCGGCGUGCCUAAUACAUGCAAGUCGAGCGAACAGACGAGGAGCUUGCUCCUCUGACGUUAGCGGCGGACGGGUGAGUAACACGUGGAUAACCUACCUAUAAGACUGGGAUAACUUCGGGAAACCGGAGCUAAUACCGGAUAAUAUAUUGAACCGCAUGGUUCAAUAGUGAAAGACGGUUUUGCUGUCACUUAUAGAUGGAUCCGCGCCGCAUUAGCUAGUUGGUAAGGUAACGGCUUACCAAGGCAACGAUGCGUAGCCGACCUGAGAGGGUGAUCGGACACACUGGAACUGAGACACGGUCCAGACUCCUAAGGGAGGCAGCAGUAGGGAAUCUUCCGCAAUGGGCGAAAGCCUGACGGAGCAACGCCGCGUGAGUGAUGAAGGUCUUCGGAUCGUAAAACUCUGUUAUUAGGGAAGAACAAAUGUGUAAGUAACUAUGCAAGUCUUGACGGUACCUAAUCAGAAAGCCACGGCUAACUACGUG
Molecule: ribosomal RNA, 497 nt
Filed under: uncultured bacterium
Lineage: Bacteria
Description: partial 16S ribosomal RNA
Rfam family: Bacterial small subunit ribosomal RNA
Source: RNAcentral